Molecule: non-coding RNA, 380 nt
Organism: Paramuricea clavata
Lineage: Eukaryota; Metazoa; Cnidaria; Anthozoa; Malacalcyonacea; Plexauridae
Source: the annotation of a GenBank genome assembly
AUUUAUUUGGCGCAAUUGCCCCAGGAGCACACGUUGGCUCAUCUAGGGGGCUCUUGCACAAAAAUAAAGAUUUACAUAUUCAAGCAUGCAACACACAAGUAUCACACAACAUCAAUAAUUAUAAGGUUUUACAUAUAUCACAAUCAGAGUCAUCGCUUUGAAACACGUUAAUUACCUACUGCAACAAGCCCUCAGAAACACAAGCAUCGAGAAUUUUGUAGCACCUCAGACAGCUUGUUACAGUUAAACAGGUACUUACAAUAAUAUUUUUUUUACAUUUUUUACGAACUGAGAAACGAGAUGUAUCAAUUAUAAAUCUUUGUACAGCAAAAAACAAUCUAUGAUUUACAUUAAAAGCAACGUUAUUACAUCCAGAAAGC